AUUCAUGUCCUAGAAGUUGUAGCUUCCAGCCUUUUAGUAACUACACAAAAACUGCCAAAGCUUUAGAGACAUCAUGUGAGUAUUAGUAAACACAAGUAGCCUGGACUUCUGACUGCUUAACCUCUCCUACUAAUAGUUGAUAUUCAUAUGUCGCAAUUGGGCAAGGAGCAAUCAAAUUUAUUCUUGACAACCAUUUUUUUAAAUAUGCUGUUUUUUUGUCAGUUCACCUCUUUUACACAUUUUGAUUUGAAUACAUAUAUCUCUGACGAACAAAUAUGGGAAAUAGUGUCGUUUGUCGAUAAGCUUGAUAGGAAUGUCAUUUGUCCCCACGUCUGUCUUCCCAAUCAAAUAACUAAGAUUCAUAAAUAUGUGUCUAUAUUUUUGGCAUUUUAUUUAAUUUUCAACUUUAAUCUGCAGUUUUUAAAUUGCUACUAAUUUGUAUGCAAGGAACAUCAUAUUUUGUUUAAACCUAAUUAUUAUCGCCUCACUGCAAGCUUUGGUGCAUGGGUUUGUGAUCAUGUAAACUAAUAAGCGGGGUUGUCACAACUGGUCACCAUAUUGUUAGUAUCGUACAUUAUAUCUUCAAUUUCCAGUAUAUCAAAUCAAUGAUGUCAUUUUAUAGUACGUACAGGUCGAGUUGCAAGAGGACCGUCUCAUGGCCUAUUUCAGUUGGAAACUUGCAUCAAGAUGUACUUGAGCUACAUUAAGUUUGAGGGCUAAUUUUCUACGGAUUUGUAUGCCUUGAUCAGGUAUUAGGAUCAUGGUUAUUUGUGGUAUAUGUAUAGAGGCA
This 790-nucleotide long non-coding RNA is filed under the name Triticum aestivum (bread wheat). Its description in RNAcentral is "long non-coding RNA (TAES_LNC012438)". Lineage: Eukaryota; Viridiplantae; Streptophyta; Magnoliopsida; Poales; Poaceae. The record is from RNAcentral.